AACGAACGCUGGCGGCGUGCUUAACACAUGCAAGUCGAGCGGGAUCCAACCGGUGGCAACACCGGGGAAGAUCUAGCGGCGAACGGGUGAGUAACACGUGAGCAACCUGCCCCGAAGACUGGGAUAACACCGGGAAACCGGUGCUAAUACCGGAUGUCGUCAUUAGGCCGCAUGACCUGAUGAUGAAAGGAUUCAUCGCUUCGGGAGGGGCUCGCGGGCUAUCAGCNGUUGGUGGGGUAACGGCCUACCAAGGCGACGACGGCUAGCUGGUCUGAGAGGACGACCAGCCACACUGGGACUGAGACACGGCCCAGACUCCUACGGAGGCAGCAGUGGGGAAUCUUGCGCAAUGGGCGAAAGCCUGACGCAGCAACGCCGCGUGGGGGAUGAAUGCCUUCGGGUUCG
RNAcentral lists this ribosomal RNA (405 nucleotides) under uncultured bacterium. RNAcentral describes it as "bacterial SSU rRNA". It matches the Rfam family "Bacterial small subunit ribosomal RNA", at positions 29 to 426 of the family's 1533-position model. The record is from RNAcentral.